AUUCCCCCAAUUGCUUACCCAUCGGACCUACACUCUGGUUUGAGAGAUACAAGAAGAGGAAAAGUAAAAGGACAACUGACUUGAAUUCUUUUGUGACAUACAAGUUAGUGUCAAACCAAC
This 120-nucleotide small nucleolar RNA is filed under the name Echinops telfairi (small Madagascar hedgehog). RNAcentral's name for it is "Small nucleolar RNA SNORA61 (ENSETEG00000026841.1)". The record is from RNAcentral. Lineage: Eukaryota; Metazoa; Chordata; Mammalia; Afrosoricida; Tenrecidae.